RNAcentral lists this ribosomal RNA (320 nucleotides) under uncultured eukaryote. RNAcentral describes it as "partial 18S ribosomal RNA". It matches the Rfam family "Eukaryotic small subunit ribosomal RNA", at positions 1470 to 1796 of the family's 1831-position model. The record is from RNAcentral.
CCCCUAGAUGUUCUGGGCCGCACGCGCGCUACACUGAACAGUUCAACAAGUCUUAACCUUGGCCGAUAGGUCUGGGUAAUCUUUGAACGCUGUUCGUGAUUGGGAUAGACCUUUGCAAUUAUGGGUCUUCAACGAGGAAUUCCUAGUAAACGCAAGUCAUCAGCUUGCAUUGGUUACGUCCCUGCCCUUUGUACACACCGCCCGUCGCACCUACCGAUUGAAUGGUCCGGUGAAAUCUCGGGACGGCGGCUUGGUCGCUUGCGUCCGACUGCUGAAACUUGAUUAAACCAUAUCAUUUAGAGGAAGGUGAANUCGUAACA